UUAAUUCUAUUAGUGUUAUCUCAUCUAAAUAUUGACAUUUUCAACACAUAAUCAGUACCAAAACUUAAGGUAUUCUUCUUUUCCCAUCUUCAAAAGCCUGUGCGUACUGUCUACCUACACAGCGUCUUGGAUUGGACUAGUCCGUUUACGUGCUGGGCGACAUAUUUAAGUGCUAGCCGUGUGCUGCAGAGCAGUGCACAGACAGGGCAUUGAGGCUGUCGCAGCAAAACCUUUCAGCCACUUCGAUUUAAGCCAGGGCUCGCGCAUGCUGAGCACAUGCCAUGCUGCAUCUUUGUUGAAAUUCACAAGCCAUAAAAUACAGCCAGGUUUUAAUAUACAAGAGUUGUUUGACGGCACCAGGAUCAAUUUUAGAACAUUUUUUGCACCCCAAAGAAAGCCGGCACCCACUUGCAGCAGCUCCUCAUUCUCCCCCUCGCCCACCUAGCACCAACUUGUCUGCAUCCUGGCCCUUGGUUUGCCUGAAUGGACUCAGCAUGACCGUUGCGUCUGGUGUCUGUUAUAUGUAGCAUAGUGUCAUCAAGGUUCAUUCGUGUUGUACAAAGUGUGAUCAAAACAAACAGCAAACGUUUUAACUUUGUAACAUGUAUUACAUGAAAAGUCAUUGCCAUUAAUUCCUCUCAAAAUACUCCCCGUUGCACACACUUAUAGAUGGAACCCACUUAUUCUACCUUCUAUGGGUCCUUCCUGGUUGUCUUUUUGAGGUGUGAUCAAAAAUACAGUGAAUGCUGCUGCCAUCCAAAGGAAAAGUAUGUCUUUGUCCACCAUAUUCACCAGACCUGACACCAUUCAACGUCUGGCUCUUCUCCACAGUCAAAGUGACCAUGAAAGGUAUUUUGAAUUAAUUAUAGGUAACCACAACAGUGCAACUAAAGACACUCACAGAAGAGGACUUCCAGAACUGCUUCAGAAAACGGCAAGAGCAACGGGAUGUGUUUGAAACCAGGAGAUUGAGGACCCGUGUUCACAACGGUCUUUGGACGUCUGAGAAAGGACGCAGAAGGCAUGAGUCAUGUCACCAGAGGCUGUGGCCCUCCACUUCCCUGUUGCUGCUGGCACCCAUGUCCCUGCUCUGCACUGUGACAGCUGGUAUUUCCAGUGUGGUGCUGACCUGCAGGUGUGAGAAAGGAGAGGGUGCUGCUGACACCUGUCCUAAAGUCCUGAGGGAUGCAUGUGGAGGAGACAGUGCCUCGUGGGCAAGGAGGAGCAAGGCCUGUGCCUGGUGACAUAGGAAGCUCGGGACUCUGACGGGGAGAAAGUGCAAGUGGUAGAAACUGGUGCAUUUUCCUUCAUUUCUUCCAUGUACCCAACUCUUGGACCCUGAGGCCAGAGGUAGGGCAGCUGCCACCCACUGUGCCAUCCAGUCAGGAAACAUCUGGGUGUGGACCGUCCAAGAGAAACUUCUGGAAAAUGCUGGCUCCACAAGCUGAAGGAACUCAGCCAGGGAGGGGGCAUCUGUGUCUCUUGGAGAGCUGGUUCCUUCCUGAAAACUAAACAUCU
Long non-coding RNA from Fukomys damarensis (Damara mole-rat), 1518 nucleotides. RefSeq lists it as uncharacterized. The record is from RefSeq and is a predicted model, not a curated record. Lineage: Eukaryota; Metazoa; Chordata; Mammalia; Rodentia; Bathyergidae. The transcript has 3 exons.